RNAcentral lists this ribosomal RNA (468 nucleotides) under uncultured bacterium. RNAcentral's name for it is "partial 16S ribosomal RNA". It matches the Rfam family "Bacterial small subunit ribosomal RNA", at positions 28 to 507 of the family's 1533-position model. The record is from RNAcentral.
GACGAACGCUGGCGGCGUGCUUAACACAUGCCAGUCGAACGGAAAGGCCCUGCUUUUGCGGGGUGCUCGAGUGGCGAACGGGUGAGUAACACGCGAGUAACCUGCCCCUGACUUUGGGAUAACUCCAGGAAACUGGGGCUAAUAUCGGAUAUGAGCUCCUGCUGCAUGGUGGGCGUUGGAAAGUUUCGGCGGUUGGGGAUGGACUCGCGGCUUAUCAGCUUGUUGGUGGGGUAGUGGCUUACCAAGGCUUUGAAGGAUAGCCGGCCUGAGAGGGUGACCGGCCACAUUGGGACUGAGAUAGGGCCCAGACGCCUACGGGAGGCAGCAGUGGGGAAUAUUGCACAGUGGGCGGGAGCCUGAUGCAGCGACGCCGCGUGCGGGAUGACGGGCUUCGGGUUGUAAACCGCUUUCGCCUGUGACGAAGCGUGAGUGACGGUAAUGGGUAAAGAAGCACCGGCUAACUACGUG